This 253-nucleotide ribosomal RNA is filed under the name uncultured bacterium. RNAcentral describes it as "partial 16S ribosomal RNA". It matches the Rfam family "Bacterial small subunit ribosomal RNA", at positions 524 to 776 of the family's 1533-position model. The record is from RNAcentral.
UACGGAGGGGGCUAGCGUUGUUCGGAAUUACUGGGCGUAAAGCGCACGUAGGCGGCUUUGUAAGUUAGAGGUGAAAGCCCGGAGCUCAACUCCGGAAUUGCCUUUAAGACUGCAUCGCUCGAAUCAUGGAGAGGUGAGUGGAAUUCCGAGUGUAGAGGUGAAAUUCGUAGAUAUUCGGAAGAACACCAGUGGCGAAGGCGACUCACUGGACAUGUAUUGACGCUGAGGUGCGAAAGCGUGGGGAGCAAACAGG